RNAcentral lists this ribosomal RNA (1064 nucleotides) under human gut metagenome. RNAcentral's name for it is "bacterial LSU rRNA". It matches the Rfam family "Bacterial large subunit ribosomal RNA", at positions 1543 to 2616 of the family's 2925-position model. The record is from RNAcentral.
CCCCUUCGGAUAGCAAAGCCUUUUUGGAAAUGAAAGCUUCGCGAGUACAGAAGUCGUUGAGCAGCUUUCCAGAAAGGCUCCUAGUGUUAUUUAUUAUCANNCCGUACNGAAAAUGACACACAUGGGUGAGGAGAGAUCCCUNAAGUGAGCGAGAGAACUAUAGCUAAGACUUCUGCAAAAUGACUCCGUACCUAGGANNGAAGGAGUGCUCAUAGAGAUAUGAGCCGCAGUGAAACGGCCCAAGCGACUGUUACCAAAAACACAGCUCUCUGCUAAGCCGAAAGGCGACGUAUAGGGGGUGACGCCUGCCCGGUGCUGGAAGGUUAAGGGGACAUGUCAUCGAAAGAGAAGCAUCGAACCGAAGCCCCAGUAAACGGCGGCCGUAACUAUAACGGUCCUAAGGUAGCGAAAUUCCUUGUCAGGUAAGUUCUGACCCGCACGAAAGGCGUAACGAUUUGGGCGCUGUCUCAGCUGUAGACUCGGUGAAGUCUUAGUACCUGUGAAGAUGCAGGUUACCCGCGACUAGACGGAAAGACCCCAUGGAGCUUUACUGUAGCUUGAUAUUGGACUUUGAUGCAGCAUGUACAGGAUAGGUAGGAGGCUAAGAGACGAGUGCGCCAGCAUUCGAGGAGCCGCUGUUGGGAUACUACCCCUGCUGUAUUGGAGUUCUAACCGGACGUCAUGGAACUGAUGACGGGACAGUGUCAGGUGGGCAGUUUGACUGGGGCGGUCGCCUCCCAAAGAGUAACGGAGGCGCCCAAAGAUACCCUCAGCUUGGAUGGAAACCAAGCGCAGAGUGCAAAGGCAAAAGGGUGUUUGACUGCGAGACCCACAAGUCGAGCAGGGACGAAAGUCGGGCUUAGUGAUCCGGCGGUGCUGAAUGGAAAGGCCGUCGCUCAACGGAUAAAAGCUACCCUGGGGAUAACAGGCUGAUCUCCCCCAAGAGUUCACAUCGACGGGGAGGUUUGGCACCUCGAUGUCGGCUCAUCGCAUCCUGGAGCUGAAGUCGGUUCCAAGGGUUGGGCUGUUCGCCCAUUAAAGCGGUACGCGAGCUGGGUUCAGAA